RNAcentral lists this ribosomal RNA (623 nucleotides) under uncultured Burkholderia sp. RNAcentral describes it as "bacterial SSU rRNA". It matches the Rfam family "Bacterial small subunit ribosomal RNA", at positions 138 to 756 of the family's 1533-position model. Lineage: Bacteria; Pseudomonadati; Pseudomonadota; Betaproteobacteria; Burkholderiales; Burkholderiaceae. The record is from RNAcentral.
GGGGGAUAGCCCGGCGAAAGCCGGAUUAAUACCGCAUACGCUCUACGGAGGAAAGGGGGGGAUCUUAGGACCUCUCGCUACAGGGGCGGCCGAUGGCAGAUUAGCUAGUUGGUGGGGUAAAGGCCUACCAAGGCGACGAUCUGUAGCUGGUCUGAGAGGACGACCAGCCACACUGGGACUGAGACACGGCCCAGACUCCUACGGGAGGCAGCAGUGGGGAAUUUUGGACAAUGGGCGCAAGCCUGAUCCAGCAAUGCCGCGUGUGUGAAGAAGGCCUUCGGGUUGUAAAGCACUUUUGUCCGGAAAGAAAACUUCUGCCCUAAUACGGCGGGAGGAUGACGGUACCGGAAGAAUAAGCACCGGCUAACUACGUGCCAGCAGCCGCGGUAAUACGUAGGGUGCAAGCGUUAAUCGGAAUUACUGGGCGUAAAGCGUGCGCAGGCGGUUCGCUAAGACAGAUGUGAAAUCCCCGGGCUUAACCUGGGAACUGCAUUUGUGACUGGCGGGCUAGAGUAUGGCAGAGGGGGGUAGAAUUCCACGUGUAGCAGUGAAAUGCGUAGAGAUGUGGAGGAAUACCGAUGGCGAAGGCAGCCCCCUGGGCCAAUACUGACGCUCAUGCACGA